Molecule: transfer RNA, 74 nt
Filed under: bacterium
Lineage: Bacteria
Description: tRNA-Arg
Rfam family: tRNA
About the family: Transfer RNA (tRNA) molecules are approximately 80 nucleotides in length.
Source: RNAcentral
GCCCCCGUAGCUCAAUUGGAUAGAGCCUUGCUUUCGUAGGUCAAGGGUUGCGGGUUCAAGUCCCGCCGGGGAUG